Molecule: long non-coding RNA, 498 nt
Filed under: Taeniopygia guttata (zebra finch)
Lineage: Eukaryota; Metazoa; Chordata; Aves; Passeriformes; Estrildidae
Description: lncRNA (ENSTGUG00000021679.1)
Source: RNAcentral
UAGCUGAGCACAUCUCCAUUUCAGAAGGACUGGAAGAUGAAACAAUCCCUGGUUUCCUUUCCUUUUCAGUGCUCUUUAAAGAGCUUGGGAGACUGUGAUUUCCUGAACUUUUAAAUUUGCGACAAAGAAAUCUUGUCUACAGCGUGUUUAAAGGACAGGCUAAUGAAAACUGGUUUUCUGACAACGCUGAGUUACGAGAUGGCAGCACCUGUUGGACUUCAGUGAAAAUAUUCUUGUGGGCUCUGGUUUGCACUUUUUCAAGCCAUGGCUGAGGGAGUGCUGAAGUGUGCAGGGAGCAGAAGGUCCAGCCCAGUGUGGAAGGGUUGGCUGGAGCCUGGUUUGGAUGUCAGUGCAAACAGUGCCACCCUGGCUCCACCAGGAUGUACCUUUGAGUGGAGAGGAGCAGCUCUAAGAAAGCCAAGUACUGAAGAUGUGCAGAAACCUCCGUGGGACUGGUGAUUCCACAGCUGAGAGAAUGAGAGGGGACAUAACUGAGCG